This 253-nucleotide ribosomal RNA is filed under the name uncultured bacterium. RNAcentral's name for it is "partial 16S ribosomal RNA". It matches the Rfam family "Bacterial small subunit ribosomal RNA", at positions 524 to 776 of the family's 1533-position model. The record is from RNAcentral.
UACGGAGGGUGCAAGCGUUACUCGGAAUCAUUGGGCGUAAAGCGCACGUAGGCGGUCUCUUAAGUCUGGCGUGAAAUCCUGGGGCUCAACCUCAGAUGGCCGUUGGAAACUAAGAGACUUGAGAAUGGAAGGGGUCAGUGGAAUUCCUGGUGUAGGAGUGAAAUCCGUAGAGAUCAGGAGGAACACCGGUGGCGAAGGCGACUGACUGGGCCAUUUCUGACGCUAAUGUGCAAAAGCGUGGGGAGCAAACAGG